GUCUAUGGCCAUACCACCCUGAAUGUGCCAAUCUCGUCAGCUCUCAGAAGCUAAGCAGGGUUGGGCCUGGCUAGUGCUUGGAUGGUAGAGCGACUGGGAAUACCUGAGGCUGUAGGCU
Molecule: ribosomal RNA, 118 nt
Filed under: Prolemur simus (greater bamboo lemur)
Lineage: Eukaryota; Metazoa; Chordata; Mammalia; Primates; Lemuridae
Source: RNAcentral